UUUCAUUCUGUUUAAAUAUGUACACGUGUUGUGGACGCCGACGUUUCUUUGGAGACGUGAAUUUAUGCUUUGGAUGAAUAAUUCAAUUAUACAAACACGUCGGACUUUGACGUCAUCAGUGGUCGACCAAAACAAAAACAUGGCGGAAAGUCAUUCGGCUGGACUUCGGUAGAAACUUCUCUUCUUUUUUGUUUAUCAUCCUUUCGUCUGUUUAGAGUCUGUCAGUGAUUUUGUAGAAUUGCAAUACUGCGUUCGCUGUUGGUACUGUAGAAGCUUAUGUUGUUCUCCGGGAGUUGCCAUAUUUGGCAGGGGGGUGUUAUGUUGGACUGCGCGGGUUUUUGGGUCGUGUCUAACGGAGACUGAAGGCACGAAUAAUGUUGUUAUCUUGCUGCACCAACGAACUUGGACCUUAUUGACUGCUGUCCGGGCGGAUUUACCAAAUAUAACCCUCUGCUACAAUACUACGGACACCAAAGACACAAAGCUGAAUGAUUUUGACUCACGUCCACUGUGUUUAAAAUCAAGUGGCCACUGAUAAAUUGGUAUUCAGGCUGAACUCACUCAACUGAGGAGCAUCAUGGAUGACGAUGAUGCCUUAUUUCUUGCUGAUUUGCUGUUGGAGGAAUGCAAGAAUACUCAACCUAAAGAAUCCUCAGAAGUGUCUGGACCGGACAAAUUUACAUUUGUUUGGGUUGAGGAGGACGAGGAAGGGAAUCCUCUCCCAAAGGGGAGGAGAACAGGGAAGAAGCGGGUAAAGAGUUCAUCCUCAGCGUUUCCAUCCACAAUUCCAUGGUUUUACAUAAUAGAUCAUCCAUGAUAGAGGGAUUCUACAGGCCACUGCCACCAACCACUCACAUCAGUGAAGAGAAGGGAGGAAAAUUCUCCUUCCAUGGAAGAGAGUGCAUUUUGCUAGUAAUGCAUCCAUGCUGUGACUGCUGCUCUGGGCAUACAACCUUUUCUGCAGGAAAGCAAGUAAUUCUGAUUGGAAUGAAUGGUCGAUACAAUGUGUCCCUCCCAACUGUCAGCUGCUCCUGCGGGAAAGCUUUGGAUGUCGGUAUUAGUGAGCUGAUUGAAAGUGGCUACUGGCCAGCUACAGUCCAUUUUGAGACGCUGUACACAGUGGAUUUGUUCGCUACAUACGAAGAUCUCAAGAUUACUGCACCAGGAAUGUCAAGCUUUCGUUGGUAUGCUUGAGCAGCGCACAAAACUCUUUGGUCGGUGUGGUAAAAUAUGUGGCGACACCAUGCAAGAAUCAUUCCUGGAAUGGUCGUACGCAAAAUUUGAAGUUGAGAGGCUGUCUGAAGUCGCUCAGUUUCAGUGCCCAGCCUGCACACCCUCAAUGUUAGCUGUCUCAGUGGAUGGGAACCUGAACUUGAAAAAACCAUUGAAGGACUGUAUCUCUGCAUCAAGCAGCGGAAAUAUCAGCUGUAUCGUCAGGCUGAUGGCAACAAGAGAAGACAUCUGCUUAGAAAAAAGAUUUCAAUGGAAAAGAGAUCCUUAGAAGAUGCCAUCACAAAAUACAAUGCUGUUGUGCCGGAAACUGGCAAACUCCCUUCUCCCAACGAGCUCCUGGCUGAGGAAAACUAUUCCUGGCCUUGGGAAUGUCAUGGUGAUAUGUUAAAGAAAAAAAAGGUCUUCGACAAGGUAAUGCUGAUGAAACGACUGAAGGAAGAGGAGGUCAUUGUUGUCCGUGAAGUCAAGUAGCACUGGGAGUACAUGAGGAAUAUGGCUGGAAAUAUUCAAGAGAUUUCCUCCCAGCUUUCAGAAGGGAUCACUCAGCAAAGCGGCACAGAUGCAUUGACUGGGAGAGGACGUGAGGGGCUACUCUGUCUGCUGAAGAGAAGACUGUCAGCAAUUCAAGCUCAGCAGGGUGCGGCUCGCUCAACGUGCCAACAUGUUUUUGGAUCGCAAGCCUUGUCUCUCGAUGAUUCCUCCACUGAUGAUGAAGAACCCCAUGAUAGCAGCUCCUCCACCGAAGAUGAAGAACACUAGCAUUGUAGCUCCUCUUCUGAACUUUGACCUCCCUCAUUAAAAAAUGAGGAAAACUGUUGUAAUUACCUGGCCUGCAGUAUGAAUGUGAAAUGUUAAAAUAAACUGUCCUGCAAUUGACUCUUUUUCUGAGUUAUGUACUAUUACUAUUUUGAAGUAGAUGCUGAUGCUUUUUAUGUAAAUUAUGAAUGAUUAAUUUGAGAUUUAUUGGUAGGGCAGUGAAAUACGGCUUUUCAUGCAGCCUCA
Molecule: long non-coding RNA, 2235 nt
Organism: Synchiropus splendidus (mandarinfish)
Lineage: Eukaryota; Metazoa; Chordata; Actinopteri; Syngnathiformes; Callionymidae
Exons: 10
Source: RefSeq, a predicted model, not a curated record